This 525-nucleotide ribosomal RNA is filed under the name uncultured bacterium. Its description in RNAcentral is "bacterial SSU rRNA". It matches the Rfam family "Bacterial small subunit ribosomal RNA", at positions 903 to 1397 of the family's 1533-position model. The record is from RNAcentral.
AAAGGAAUAGACGGGGACUCGCACAAGCGGUGGUUCAUGAGGUUCAAUUCGAUAGCAAACGAGGCACCUCACCAGGGCUUGACAUGUAGUCCUUAUGCUUUUUUUGAAAAGAAAAAGUUUUUACCGUAAGGUAAACGGACUGCACAGGUGCUGCAUGGUUGUCGUCAGCUCGUGCCGUGAGGCGUUCCCUUCAGUGGGGAAACGAGCGCAACCCUUGUUGUUUGUUUUUGUGUCAAACAAGACUACCCAGCUUUAAGCCUACAAAAUAUAGUUUUGCAGGUUUAAAGCUGGGUGGAAGUGGGGAUGACGCCAAAUCAGCAUGGCCCUUUGAUGCCCUGGGCGACACUCAUGAAACAAUGGUAUAUACAGCGGGUUGCUAAGCCGCGAGGCGGAGCUAAUCCCUUAAAGUAUACCUCAGUUCGGAUUGGAGUCUGAAACCCGACUCCAUGAAGCUGGAAUCGCUAGUAAACGCGUAUCAGCCAUGGCGCGUUGAAUACGUUCUCGAGUCCUGUACACACCGCCCGU